AGAGUCCUGAGGUGUACGUGGGACACAAAUCGUUUUGAGCCAACAGUUUUACAUUGGGAGCCCGGAAGUUUCAAUUGGAAUGGCAUGCCUCUUCCAAGUGGAAGUCUGAACAAUUGAACAGGGCACCCACCUGCCGGAAGCAGGCUUCAAAACUAUGUCAGUUUAACGGCACAUCGGGACUCUU
Molecule: non-coding RNA, 184 nt
Filed under: Salibacterium halotolerans
Lineage: Bacteria; Bacillati; Bacillota; Bacilli; Caryophanales; Bacillaceae
Description: 6S / SsrS RNA
Rfam family: 6S / SsrS RNA
About the family: E. coli 6S RNA was the first non coding RNA to be sequenced, but its function was unknown until recently. It consists of 184 nucleotides that fold into an extended hairpin structure with a large single-stranded internal bulge. The 6S RNA specifically associates with RNA polymerase holoenzyme containing the sigma70 specificity factor.
Source: RNAcentral